GGAAGGAUCAUUAUUUGGUGGAUUUGAUGUUGGGGAGAUGGGUAGGACUAGGGCUAGGGCUAGGGCUAGGGUGUGCUUGCACGCACUAGUUCUAGUUCUAGUUCUAGUUCUGUCUGUCUGUCUUUCACAACAAUUUGUUCGGUGCAGCAAUGCAUCGUUACACAUGCGUUUAAUCUAUAUGUCAGAGUAAACUAUAUGCAAACUAUACAACUUUUAACAAUGGAUCUCUAGGCUCUUGCAACGAUGAAGAACGCAGUUAAAUGCGAUAAUUAGUGCGAUUUGCAUGAAUCUGUGAGUCAUCUAGUAUUUGAACGCAACUUGCGCCUCUUGGAGGCAUGACUGUUUGAGUGCAAGAAACAAAUGUGUGAAUUAAUAUAGCACAAGUUGGCCGUGUCACGCGUGACGCGUGAUUUGUCACAUGUCGUCUGACCCGGCUUGAAAAAAGCAAGAAAAGGAAAUAGAGUUUCCAUGUGAGCUAGAGGCAUUGGUCUUGUCACAUGGAUCCCUCCUAACAUCCAAUUAAUCUCUUUACUCUACGCCUCAAAUCAGUCAAGACUACCCGCUGAACUUAAGCAUAUCAGUAAGCGGAGGAAAAGAAACUAACAAGGAUUCCCCCAGUAACGGCGAGUGAAGUGGGAAGAGCUCAAAGUUAAAAUCUCGACGAGCAAUCGUUGCGAAUUGUAAACUAAAGAGGGGUGUUGCAGAGUUGGAGGUUGGUCAAGUCCAUUGGAACAUGGCACCAGAGAGGGUGAGAGUCCCGUCAACCAACGGAAAAUUCAAAUCACAUUCACUCUACGAGUCGAGUUGUUUGGGAAUGCAGCUCAAAGCGGGUGGUAAAUCUCAUCCAAGGCUAAAUAUUGGCAAGAGACCGAUAGCGAACAAGUACCAUGAGGGAAAGAUGAAAAGCACCUUGAAAAGGGAGUUAAAAAGUACGUGAAAUUGUUAAAAGGGAAACGAUCGGGGUCAGUAUUUGGGGAUUGUUUAAUGCAGGGUCUUGAUCCAGCAAGCGACGCUCUUCAGAGUCAACGCCAGUUGCAGUGGGUGGAUCAAGUGUCGAGAAAGGUGGCGAGAUUCGUCUCGUCUUUAGGCUUGGCAUGUUGCAUCGACAGCGACUGGAUAUGGUUGGAAAGGGUUUGGUUGAUUGUUCGAGAGGAUUUGAGAGACAGCAUGCUGACUCUUAAUCCGACUUGGCCAUGACAUUAGACACAACCCAACACAUUUUGACGAAAUGGCCUUGAACGACCCGUCUUGAAACACGGACCAAGGAGUCUAACAAUGGAGCGAGUAUUCGAGUGGAAAACUCGUAUGCACAGUGAAAGCAAUAUUUGUGAGCAAGUCUCUUGCGCAACAAAGUCUGGCGUUAUGAUAGAUCAUGACGACCAGAACAGCUCCAGUGUUGGGACCCGAAAGGCGGUGAACUAUGCCUGACUAGGGCAAAGCCAGAGGAAACUCUGGUGGAGGCUCGCAGCCGUUCUGACGUGCAAAUCGAUGGUCAAAGUUGGGUAUAGGGGCGAAAGACUAAUCGAACCGCCUAGUAGCUGGUUCCCUC
Molecule: unclassified non-coding RNA, 1549 nt
Filed under: uncultured fungus
Lineage: Eukaryota; Fungi
Description: sequence contains 18S rRNA gene, ITS1, 5.8S rRNA gene, ITS2, 28S rRNA gene
Rfam family: Eukaryotic large subunit ribosomal RNA (bases 536-1549)
Source: RNAcentral